CCUACGGGAGACAGCAGUGGGGAAUAUUGGGCAAUGGACGCAAGCCUGACCCAGCAACGCCGCGUGCAGGAAGAAGGCUUUCGGGUUGGAAACUUCUUUUCUCAGGGACGAAGCAAGUGACGGUACCUGAGGAAUAAGCCACGGCUAACUACGUGCCAGCAGCCGCGGUAAUACGUAGGUGGCAAGCGUUAUCCGGAUUUACUGGGUGUAAAGGGCGUGUAGGCGGUGACGUAAGUCAGAUGUGAAAACCAUGGGCUCAACCUCUGCCCUGCAUUUGAAACUGUGUUUCUUGAGUACUGGAGAGGCAGACGGAAUUCCUAGUGUAGCGGUGAAAUGCGUAGAUAUUAGGCGGAACACCAGUGGCGAAGGCGGUCUGCUGGACAGCAACUGACGCUGAGGCGCGAAAGCGUGGGGAGCAAACAGGAUUAGAUACCCGGGUAGUC
This 443-nucleotide ribosomal RNA is filed under the name uncultured bacterium. RNAcentral describes it as "partial 16S ribosomal RNA". It matches the Rfam family "Bacterial small subunit ribosomal RNA", at positions 338 to 795 of the family's 1533-position model. The record is from RNAcentral.